RNAcentral lists this ribosomal RNA (466 nucleotides) under uncultured bacterium. RNAcentral describes it as "partial 16S ribosomal RNA". The stretch from base 50 to 466 matches the Rfam family "Bacterial small subunit ribosomal RNA", at positions 39 to 507 of the family's 1533-position model. The record is from RNAcentral.
GGGGGGGGGGGGGGGGGGGGGGGGGGGGGGCGGGGCGGGCGGAGAGGGGCCGGCGGGCAGGGGUGCUCGAGUGGCGAACGGGGGGGGAGCACGUGGGGGAGCGGCCCAGCACUGCGGGAUAAGCCCGGGAAACUGGGGCUAAUACCGGAUAGGACGAUGGUUUGGAUGCCAUGGUGGAAAGUUUUUUCGGUGUGGGAUGAGCUCGCGGCCUAUCAGCUUGUUGGUGGGGUAAUGGCCUACCAAGGCGUCGACGGGUAGCCGGCCUGAGAGGGUGUACGGCCACAUUGGGACUGAGAUACGGCCCAGACUCCUACGGGAGGCAGCAGUGGGGAAUAUUGCACCAUGGGCGCAAGCCUGAUGCAGCGACGCCGCGUGGGGGAUGACGGCCUUCGGGUUGUAAACUCCUUUCGCUAGGGACGAAGCGCAAGUGACGGUACCUGGAGAAGAAGCACCGGCUAACUACGUG